UCUGGUUGAUCCUGCCAGUAGUUAUAUGCUUGUCUCAAAGAUUAAGCCAUGCAUGUCUAAGUACACACGAAUUAAAAGUGAAACCGCAAAAGGCUCAUUAUAUCAGUUAUGGUUCCUUAGAUCGUUAACAGUUACUUGGAUAACUGUGGUAAUUCUAGAGCUAAUACAUGCAAUUAAAACAUGAACCUUAUGGGACAUGUGCUUUUAUUAGGCUAAAACCAAGCGAUCGAAGAUCGUUAUAUUGGUUGAACUCUAGAUAACAUGCAGAUCGUAUGGUCUUGUACGACGACAGAUCUUUCAAAUGUCUGCCCUAUCAACUUUUGAUGGUAGUAUCUAGGACUACCAUGGUUGCAACGGGUAAGGGGAAUCAGGGUUCGAUUCCGGAGAGGGAGCCUGAAAACGGCUACCACAUCUAAGGAAGGCAGCAGGCGCGUAAAUUACCCACUCCCAGCUCGGGAGGUAGUGACGAAAAAUAAACAAUACAGGACUCAUAUCCGAGGCCCUGUAAUUGGAAUGAGUACACUUUAAAUCCUUUAACAAGGACCAAUUGGAGGGCAAGUCUGGUGCAGCAGCCGCGGUAAUUCCAGCUCAAUAGCGUAUAUUAAAGUUGUUGCGGUUAAAACGUUCGUAGUUGAACUUGUGCUUCAUACGGGUAGUACAACUUACAAUUGUGGUUAGUACUAUACCUUUAUGUAAGUUAAUAAUUACAGUUAAUCGAUUUGAUUUUGAAGAUCGCAAGCGACCGUUUAUUGCAAUUUAUCAUUUGAAACUAAAUCUAGCGUACAAAAUGUUUCCCUAAGUCCCUAGCAAUCAAGUGAAGUCGUCGGCAGCGGCGCAGCAGGCGUCGGCCGCGGCGCAGCGCAGAAGUGUCGAUGUCGCGCUUAACCGUUCGUUGGCGUUGAUGGCAGCGGAGACUAUGUGGAACCACAAGAUGUUAGAGAAUCAAUUGCAGGGCAAAUAAUCCUCCCCUCUUAAUUGACGCUUGUCCUCGAGCGGUCAUCAUAAGGAUGGGAUGUUUUUGAGUCGCAUCGUUGGUGGGGUGAUUCGUGGUAGUUUGGGCACAGCAUUAAUGGUUUGAAUGCCAGGUGUUUAUUGUUGCGUGCGUUCGAGGUUUGUGCAACUCGGAUGUGUUCUGCAUUGACAACUUGAUUGCUUCUAUUAAAAUUCUGGUUUUUACUAAUUACUAAUGAAUUUAUAUCUACAUAUUUUUAGACCAUUGGAACCUUUGCAGAAGGCAUUGAUUCCGUACAUUUCGUCUUUAAUUUGGUAAAUUUUAUUAUUAUUCAAAUUAAAUUAUUAUUUAUUUAUUAUUAUUAGUUUCCUUUACUGAUCAUGUUUUAAAAUAUAAGAAUAAGGAAUUAACUGAUUCAAUAUGGAGAUUUCAAUGGCAUUCAAAUUGUAGUUCGUUGUGUAAAGCGAGAACGUGUGAAAGUUUUAACA
This 1440-nucleotide ribosomal RNA is filed under the name Drosophila melanogaster (fruit fly). RNAcentral's name for it is "SSU rRNA". The stretch from base 2 to 796 matches the Rfam family "Eukaryotic small subunit ribosomal RNA", at positions 4 to 1116 of the family's 1831-position model. Lineage: Eukaryota; Metazoa; Arthropoda; Insecta; Diptera; Drosophilidae. The record is from RNAcentral.